AUUUAUCAAAUUUUUAGACAAUUCUAACUAUUAAAGUGAUAUAUACCAUUCACGGAAGGAGUAUAAUAAAAUGCUUAAUCAAUAUACUGAACAUCAACCGACAACUUCAAAUAUUAUUAUUUUAUUAUACUCUUUAGGACUUAAAGCGUUUAGUAAAUAUUUACUAAACGCUUUAAGUCCUAUUUCUGUUUGAAUGGGACUUGUAAA
Molecule: small RNA, 207 nt
Filed under: Staphylococcus aureus
Lineage: Bacteria; Bacillati; Bacillota; Bacilli; Caryophanales; Staphylococcaceae
Rfam family: Listeria sRNA rli60
Source: RNAcentral